Prunus dulcis (almond) is the source of this 2514-nucleotide long non-coding RNA. RefSeq lists it as uncharacterized. The record is from RefSeq and is a predicted model, not a curated record. The transcript has 2 exons. Lineage: Eukaryota; Viridiplantae; Streptophyta; Magnoliopsida; Rosales; Rosaceae.
UCUCUCCUCUCCCCACUCCUCAAUUUUUAUUCGAUCAACAUGGCUCCCUCUGAACUAGCACUUCGAAUCUCAUCCAUCAUCAUCUUGAUAUUCCUCGCAUACAAGCUCUACCAACGGCUGAGAUUCAAGCUCCUGGACGCCCACAAUCUUGAGGACCGGGACUGACUCUUCGGGCUGAUGAAGCAGAGCAAGCCGUUAAAUCCCAGAGAGGCUGGUGGCCGAGUGUUUGUCUUGCAUGACUACAACCAAAGCAUGGAGCAGCAGAGAGAGAGGAGGAGGAGGAGAGAGAGAGCUAUGGCAGUGGUGGAGGCUCUGUGGGCGAUGAUGGUGACGACGAUGAAUCUGAAGGAAGACGAUGGUGGUGCUGAGUAGCUUGGCUGGGGUUGAGGAAGAGUUCGUUGAUUGCUCGGACGCUUACGCCAUGGAUGAGGUGGAACGCCUACGUGCUUUGCUGGAAAACGCAGUUGACGAGCAGAAAGUUUGGCGCGCCAAUUCGAGAAAGAAAGGGAGCUGAGCUCGUAGAAGCCAAGAACAGGGAGCAGGGCACUCUCACCCCUGAAUUCUACAACAGCUCAAAGAGUGCAUGGUCAAAGAGUACGUUUCACAAACUUGGUCUGCUAGCACCCAAGAAAACAAAGCAGUCUUUUUAUUCUUCUCUAGGCUGGCUGGUGGCGGUGUCUGAGGAUUUGAAGGAUGAUCUGCUGCACCCUUAAAGCCAUAACCAGAUUGAACUUUCAGAUAUUAACAAGUCAGAUCUCAAAUAGAAGAAAGAAAAAUAAGAAUUUAUGCAGCUUAUGAAGAUGCUAAAAGAAAGGAAAAAUCUCUGCAAGACAAGAACGAGCUAAAGCAGAAGCUGUGGUCUUUUUGUGUGUGCAAGUGUUGGCGUUGUUGGUUUGCAGAACUUUCACGAAUGCCCGUUUCCCUUUUUGGUCUCUGGUUUCCGCACACCCACAUCCAAGGACACUGGACACUUCUUCAUCGACCGCGACAGGGCUUCGAACAAUGUUGUGUUGAAGCUUUUCAGUGUAAAGCCGAAUGUCCAGAGAAGUAGGGGUAUACACAUUGUGGGUUCCUGUAAUGGCUUCCUCUGCCACGAGUUGCUUUCUGAAGUCAGCAACCAACUGUACAUCUUUGCAGAACUUCUCCUGGUAAGUAUGGAUUUGGGUUUUGUCCCAUAAGUAAUGUGUAUAGGGUAGUCCGGAUUAUGUCUCCAAUCAAAGGGUCUGUGGAGCAAGCAAUGGUUUUAAAUAUGGGGUUUGGAUUGGGAGAGAUAUUGGGGGCUCUGUCAACUCUUUUGGUACACCUGUUAAAGUGUUGGAUCCAUCUCUAAAGGAGUACACUUUACGCCUCAAGAAAUGGACCAUGGGAGGUAGUGUUGUGUACAAUCUGGUUUCAGGUUGGAGAGAAAUUGCCAAGGCAAACAAAUUGAAGACCAGUGAUACACUGCAACUAUGGUCAUUCCGAGAUGACUCCAACAAGCUUGGCUUUGUACUUAUUAAAAUUAGCACCACAACAAUGGAGGUUGAUCAAAGUGGACUUAGUGCAAGAACCAGUAGCCAAAAUGGGACAAACAGUCACACUCUCUCAAUUGCCAAAGUAAAUUCAUUGAAGACAUCUGAUGACACAGUGCAGUGUUGGUCGAUCAAGUGUAAAUCCCGGUUACGCUUUGCACUUGUUAAGGUUAGCAAGACCAAGGUGGAGGUUCAACAAAGUAGUCACGGUGCAAGCACUUGUAGCAGUAGUCAAAAUGGGCAAACGGGCUCCUCCGUUUCAUGUAUCAGCCAUGACUGUUAAUUAACACAUACAUAUAAUGAGAAAAGUCAUUGUUGCUCUGAGUGGAAAACCUGGUUUUCUCAAGGACAAUAUGUAGCUUGCAUAUGAAUUUCAUGUGACUUGGGAAAUAAAUCCUGAGAAGUUGAGUAGUCAGUUUGUGAAUAAAUUACAAUACACUAAAGAAGGUGCCAGAGAUGUAAUGGACCGAACUUGUGCUGACCUUCCUUGGCAAGUUUGGCUUGAAGUUGAUGGGAAAGACAUAGAUAUUCCAAAGGAUUCAGAGGGUCUAAUCGUGCUCAACAUUGGCAGCUACAUGGGUGGAGUAAAUCUUUGGCAAACGAAUAUGAGCAUGAUGAUGACACAUUUGUUAGGAUGGAUGCCGUUAUCAAAGAAGUACAUAAAGCACCAGAGGCUAAACUGAAACACAGGAGGGACCGUCAAGAGGUCCAGCUAGCUCGGACCAUCUGCAGUCGAGUGCACAGGAAUCCACCACCAGGCCCUCUCCAGCUCCCACGCUACUUCCGAGAUGUAGGAUUUAUUGUAAAUUACUUAAAGUCUUGUAAUUAAUUAGUAACUGCUCUGAUAUCUGGUUGGAUUAGAUAACCAAAACUGGUGAAUAUUUAGUUACCCUAUUCUGGCAGUUGGUGUGGAUUUAUCAGUUUGUUUGACAGGUGGAAAAAUUUGGGUGUAGUCAAAUUACAGGGGAGACUCUGACGAAAUUUCGGCAAGAGUCUAAGGAAA